UACAGAGGGUGCUAGCGUUGUCCGGAUUUAUUGGGCGUAAAGAGCGUGUAGGCGGCCAGACAGGUCCACUGUGAAAACUCGAGGCUCAACCUCGAGAGGUCGGUGGAAACCGUCUGGCUAGAGUCCGGAAGAGGAGAGUGGAAUUCCCGGUGUAGCGGUGAAAUGCGCAGAUAUCGGGAAGAACACCCGUGGCGAAGGCGGCUCUCUGGGACGGUACUGACGCUGAGACGCGAAAGCGUGGGGAGCGAACAGG
Molecule: ribosomal RNA, 253 nt
Filed under: uncultured bacterium
Lineage: Bacteria
Description: partial 16S ribosomal RNA
Rfam family: Bacterial small subunit ribosomal RNA
Source: RNAcentral